UCUACGGGAGGCAGCAGUAGGGAAUAUUGCUCAAUGGGGGAAGCCCUGAAGCAGCAACGCCGCGUGGAGGAUGAAGGUUUUCGGAUUGUAAACCUCUUUUGUCGGGGAACAAAGGCGCCCACGGGUGGGCGGAUGAGUGUACCCGAAGAAAAAGCAUCGGCUAACUCCGUGCCAGCAGCCGCGGUAAUACGGAGGAUGCGAGCGUUAGCCGGAUUUAUUGGGGUUAAAGGGUGCGUAGGCGGACAGUCAAGUCAGCGGUAAACAUGCGGUGCUCAACGCCGUACAGCCGUUGAAACUGGCAGUCUGGAGUGGGCGAGAAGUAGGCGGAAUGCGUGGUGUAGCGGUGAAAUGCAUAGAUAUCACGCAGAACUCCGAUUGCGAAGGCAGCAUACCGGCGCCCGACUGACGCUGAGGCACGAAAGCGUGGGUAUCGAACAGGAUUAGAUACCCUUGUAGUC
This 458-nucleotide ribosomal RNA is filed under the name uncultured bacterium. RNAcentral's name for it is "partial 16S ribosomal RNA". It matches the Rfam family "Bacterial small subunit ribosomal RNA", at positions 338 to 795 of the family's 1533-position model. The record is from RNAcentral.